Molecule: non-coding RNA, 660 nt
Organism: Numida meleagris (helmeted guineafowl)
Lineage: Eukaryota; Metazoa; Chordata; Aves; Galliformes; Numididae
Source: the annotation of a RefSeq genome assembly
GGGGGCGUGCUGCGGAAGAGCGCGGGUAUAAAAGAGCAUCGAGGUCCGCAGCACAGCCCCAUCGGCGUGGGGACACACAGCUGUUCGGAUCGCGCCAUGGCCUGGGUCCCUCUCCUCCUGGCGGUGCUCGCCCACGGCACAGGUUCCCUGGUGCAGGCAGCACUGAGUCAGCCGGCCUCGAUGUCAGCGAACCCGGGAGAAACCGUCAGGAUCACCUGCUCCGGGGGUAGCAGCUACUAUGGCUGGUACCAGCAGAAGUCACCUGGCAGUGCCCCUGUCACUGUGAUCUAUAGCAACACCAACAGACCCUCGAACAUCCCUUCACGAUUCUCCGGUUCCACAUCUGGCUCCACAGCCACAUUAACCAUCACUGGGGUCCAAGCCGAGGACGAGGCUGUCUAUUACUGUGGGAGCUACGACAGCAGCAGCCAUGCUGGCUGUCUCCCUGCCAUCCUACAUCCACCGUUUGUAGUGUCCCCUGCAUGCACUGGGGCGGCAGCUCCUCACCUUCCUCUGCUCCCACUGAGACCACCAGCCCAGUCCCAGCUGGAGGGCCACCACCACUUGGUUGGUCCAUCAGCAUGGCACCAGUUCUCUUACGUGCAUCCCUCUCUGGAGAAGAGCUGGACUUCUAAGUACCAUUAGUGUCCUCCCCUAAAA